This is a non-coding RNA of Durio zibethinus, 4510 nucleotides long. NCBI's taxonomy places the organism in Eukaryota, Viridiplantae, Streptophyta, Magnoliopsida, Malvales, Malvaceae. The record is from RefSeq and is a predicted model, not a curated record.
UUUAAUAGAUUGCAAUCGCAAUUUUCCAUCUUAUAAACAACAAAACCGCUAAAAGCCUCUCAAACUCCAAACUCUCUCCUCGUUUUUCAUUUUCGCGUUGUUCUCUUUUCUUGUCAUUAAAACCAGACAAGAGAAAACCAACCCUUUGAAUUUUUUUUUUUUCUAAAAGGUUAUCCUCUGCUUCUUUUAUUGUUUUCUCUGUAAGCAUAAUAUUUGGAGAGAUGGGCAACUGGAGAAAUCGACCGCACCGAAGAUUUUACCGACAAGAUAGAGCUCCCAAAUAUCCCCCUUCCUAUCAUGACCCUGAACCUUCUCUAUCUGAGUUUUGCAAUGAUGGUGUGCCUAUGUGGGAAAAGAAAUUCUGCACUUUAGUUGGAAGAAUAUCAUGGCGGAAGGUUGUUGAUGCCAAAAAGUCCAUUUGCUACAACAAUGAUGUACUAAAUUGGGAUGACUCAGCUGGAAAAGAAGCAUUUCAAAAUGCAAAAAAGCGCUAUUUGGCAGAGAUCAAUGGCUUCUCCUGUAACAUUUCUGCUCCUGAUCCAAAUGCUUAUAUUGAUGAAAUAAAUUGGAAUCCUUAUAUUGAUCCUGAAUUGAUUAGGGACUUAGAACAAGAAUACUUUGCUUCUAUUGAUGGAGAAAAAGAUGGCAAGGUAGGACAUGAAAACAAAUUGGCAAGAAACCUUUUGUCUGCUCCCUCGGAAGGGUGUAACAUGAACACUUGUAAGGUUGAUAAGCCUUGGGAAUGUAACAAUGCUACUCAAGGUAUUGAUGGUUCAAAGGAUCUUUUGGGUUGGGGCGGGUUGGUUACUAAAGUUGAUGAGUCAAUGAAUUUAAAUAGUAACAGAAAUAAUCCCUGGGAGAAUAGCAUUACUUAUGGAAAUGAAAGUGAAAAGCACAAUUCAUGGGGAGAUUAUGAGUCAAGGGAUUGGAAUACUGGCAAUGAUUCCUGCGGUCAUGGUUGUCAAGGCAUUGGCAAUAGGAAGGAUGAUGGAUGGAGAGACUUUAAACGGAAUUCUUGGGGAAGGAGCCAGUGCGAUUCUAAGAAGUUGUCUAACGGGGAAUAUGGCUUUGUUCAACUCAAUGGAGCUCCAAAUGAUCACGGGUGGGGUGAUUGUGGGAGAAAUUCAUGGGGUUGGAAGCUGAGGGAGAAUCAUAAUUUUGGGUCAAGAAAGUUAGACUUCAGAAGAACUAGCAGCAGGUGGGGAGCAUGGCCGAGUGGUUCAAGGAAGAGGGAAGGUUCUCACCAGUAUAUACCUGGUUACAAAAGGUCCAGGUUUCAACAGGAUGAUAAUCAGACAAGUUAUUGCUGAAGGAGUGCAAAACCUAAACAAGAAGUUUUUUGUUAGUGAAAUCAAAUUGGAGGAGGCAGCAGUUUACACUACACGUAUGCCAAAAUUUCAGACCUGACAUCUAGACGUUAUAGGCAAGGCUGCAAACCUACCAAGGAAGAUGUCAAAAGAUGCUUCAUUUUGGAAUUUGAUAGAGCUGAUGGACAAAGAGGACAAAUAAGAUGAAAGAAUGGAUAUGUAUUAUUUUUAUUUUUCAAAGAAGAGAAACAUAUUUCAUCAAACAGGUAAUAAACCAUAGCAAUAAAAAGACUAGGUGUUUGGGUGGCAUAAAAACACCAAAAAAAUUAUAACAAAAUAAUAAUGAACCAAUCAUUCUUGGAUUCUUUUUUCAAAACUCAACCAGAUGGUAUUUUUUAUCUUUUAAAGCUCAUUAAACCACAUUUGCUCCUAUGUUGUGAGGCCAUUACAUGAGGUUGCUUCCUUGUAUACCUAAGCCACUUUUUUAGGUUUUUAACUUGGAUAUAUAUAUUUUAAUUUUCUUUUUGUUUCAAGUAAAAUAUUUUUUCACAACAUUUGAGUUUACUGGAUGAGACAAAUAAUUUUCGUCCAUUUAUACUAAUAUUAAUGCCUUACCUAAGAAACUUUUUUCACAACAUAUGGAUCUUUUCAAUUUGGUGUCAAUUUUCUUCGAUUAUCGUGUUGAUUUGGAAGUAUCUUAUUUAGAACUAAGUCUCCUCAAAAGUAGUGAGGGUGAAUUUUCUUAUCAUGUAUUUCAUCAUUCUCUUCAGAUACAAUUGAUUAAGGAAAAGUGUUGUUAGUCUUUUAUCUUUAAAGAUGUUUAACUUUUAAUAGCGAUUUUAGACCUAUUUUGCUUCUUCUAGCUUAACUUCAAUUAAAAUUUUUAAUGGUGAAAUUUUCACUUCAACUGGCAACAUAGCUUCCAUCUCAUAAAUCAACGAAAAUGGGGUAGCCUUAUAAGAUGUUCGAACUGAUGUUCUAUAAGCAUAUAAGGUAAAAGAUAACAUAUCAUGUUAAUUUGUAAGUGUCCAUGAUCUUUUCUAGUAUCCUCUUAAUAUUCUUGUUUACAGCUUCUAUUGUCUCAUUCAUCUUCGAAUGAUAUGGUGUCAAAUUAUGAUAAUGGACCUUGAAUUGAGUGCACACUUCAUUUAUCAUUUUACUGUUUAAGUUUUUGGCAUUGUUAAAAAUAAUCCUCUUCAGAAGUCUAUAUCUGUAUAUUAUCUCCUUUAUGAAUUUGUAGACCAUUAAUUGAGUCACAUUAGCAUAUGAGGUAGUUUUUACACAUUUCAUGAAAUAAUCAAUUUUUACAAGAUGAAUCUAUACCUAUUUGAAGCUUUCAAGUUGAUGGGAUUGAUGACACCCAUACCUCACAUAAAGAAUGGCUAUGGAAGUGCUAAGACAUACAAAGCAAAUAGAUGUACGUGAAUCUUAUGCGCAUAAAUUUGACAUUUGUGACAUUUUCUAGCAUAAUUGAUACCAUAACAGUAAAAUUCUUAAUAUUAUUUCUAAUCAUUUUUUUUUUCAUAAUAUAAGGCUUUGAGAGUAUUGAUAAAUGGAAUCGUACUCUUUUUUUCAAUGAGCAGUGGUUAAACUUGGAUAGUAGGAUCCCUUCACCUCUAGUAUAUUUUUUAAAACUCUAAAUAUUUUUCUUUUUCAUGUUGUGUAAAGUCAAAUAGUCUAAUGCCAGAUUUAUGAUGAGCUUGUAUUGGGCAAUGAAAGCCCUUGCUAAAUCUUUUCAGCCACGAAUACAAGUCCUAUCUAAUUAUGCAUCCCAUUUAGCAAUAAAAUCAGUGAAACUUUCUUAAAAGACAUGGAUGAGCAACUUUUUAUCAUGUGUAUAUGCAGCUAUUUUACAAUAGUAUAAUAUGACAUGUGUUAUGGGCACUUGGUUCCAUUAUAUUUAUUAAAUUUGAGCACCUUGAAUUUUGGUGGAAUCACGGCACCAAGAACUAAGCAUAAUCCAGUAGCAUCCAUUAAUCCAUAAAAAUUUGUUUCUUCAAUAGUUCUCAGCCUUUCUUAUAUACGAUCCAUCUUUUAUUGUAAUCCAAAGUCUUUUGUUUUGUUUCUAUUAUGCUUAUUUUCAACUUCUCCUAUUCUUUUGGUUCAUCUAUAUUGGGAACUUAAGUUGGAUCAAAUCUUUUGACACUUUCUUGCACAUUUGAUUGCAACUGUCCAUUUUCGUUUAAAAGUUGGACCAGCUCACAAAUAGUGGAUGACUAUGUUAUGUUAAGGUUAGAGAACAAACUCUUCAAUUCAUCCUUUUCUUUUCUGAGAGCUUGAACCUCCUUUUUAAGCCUUUUGUUUACAAGUUUUAACUUCUCGACUUCUUUUCAGGUUAAUAAAGGAUUUUGCUAGGCUUUCCAUUGAUGUAAUCAAGAUUCUUUUUGUUAAAAUUAUUUUUAUGGCAAUCACUCCUUAUGAUAAAUCUAAUGAUGUAAACACAUGCACAUAUAGUAAAAAGAAAAGGUUAGUUACAAUAUAUGCAUGGAGUAAAAAUACUAUUUAACAAGUAUAAGAGUAAUAAAUAUCCUUUGUGUGACCUACUUAGGAUUUUCUAACAAAAGGAAAAGGUAGGGCUCUAACUUAGGUUUGGAUUCUUAAGGUUUAUUUAUGUGUAGGGUUCAAAGAUUUGACAAUCUAAAGGUUUUCAAAUUAUUUCUCACGUCAUAUUCUAUUAUGGACUAGUAAGACACCAAAUCCUCGCCUACCAUUAUAACCUUAAAUGAAAAAGGUUCAAUUUGAGUAAAAAUUUUUGCUAGCUCAUACGGAGGUUAUCAUUUCACAAGAGUGUAAGUACUUUCUCCCUCCUAAGAAAGGAUAAAGCUUAGGUCUAGAGAUUAUAUAUGAAUGUAGGUGUAGUGUGUGUGAAGGAACAUGCUAACCCUAAAUAAUCAAAUAAAUUGGUACACAUAUAAAAUCAAAAUAUACAAAAUAAACAAAUAAAUUAGUACGCAUAAAGACUCAGAAGCUACAAAAUAAAUAAAUAGGUUAGUACACAUGAAAAUCCACAAAUAAUUACAUAAUAAAACUAUCAAAGCAAGGCUUAAGAUAACAAACAACUAACUAAUGGCUUGACUUUAAUUUUUCCAGUAAAGUCACCAAACUAUUAUAAUAUUCAAGUUUGAGAACCUACUCUUUAGACAUAAAAAAAAUAGAGUCGUCACCAAUCUUUUUUUAUCUAGGUGUGAUUAGCCACCUAAAUG